ACACUGAUCAACCUUAAUGACAUGGGUCAACUCGAAUCACAUAGCAGUCUAAUCAAGAUAUAAUCCAUCAAAUUGGUGAGGUAAGUGAGAUCGGUGGGAAGGUCUGCUAAGCUUGCCUUAGACACCAUCAAAAUGGCCAGGUAAGCUGCUCUAAAUUUAAAACCAUCAGUCAAAAUGCCAAACUUACCUUAUACAUCAAUUGGUUAAUUAGUUUCGAUUUGAUCAACCUAAUGAUUCGGAUUCAACCAUUGAGC
RNAcentral lists this long non-coding RNA (254 nucleotides) under Elaeis guineensis (African oil palm). Its description in RNAcentral is "long non-coding RNA (EGUI_LNC048903)". Lineage: Eukaryota; Viridiplantae; Streptophyta; Magnoliopsida; Arecales; Arecaceae. The record is from RNAcentral.